RNAcentral lists this ribosomal RNA (456 nucleotides) under Streptococcus sanguinis. RNAcentral's name for it is "bacterial SSU rRNA". It matches the Rfam family "Bacterial small subunit ribosomal RNA", at positions 28 to 468 of the family's 1533-position model. The record is from RNAcentral. Lineage: Bacteria; Bacillati; Bacillota; Bacilli; Lactobacillales; Streptococcaceae.
GACGAACGCUGGCGGCGUGCCUAAUACAUGCAAGUAGAACGCUGAAGAGAGGAGCUUGCUCUUCUUGGAUGAGUUGCGAACGGGUGAGUAACGCGUAGGUAACCUGCCUGGUAGCGGGGGAUAACUAUUGGAAACGAUAGCUAAUACCGCAUAAAAUUGAUUAUUGCAUGAUAAUUAAUUGAAAGAUGCAACUGCAUCACUACCAGAUGGACCUGCGUUGUACUAGCUAGUUGGUGAGGUAACGGCUCACCAAGGCGACGAUACAUAGCCGACCUGAGAGGGUGAUCGGCCACACUGGGACUGAGACACGGCCCAGACUCCUACGGGAGGCAGCAGUAGGGAAUCUUCGGCAAUGGGGGGAACCCUGACCGAGCAACGCCGCGUGAGUGAAGAAGGUUUUCGGAUCGUAAAGCUCUGUUGUAAGAGAAGAACGGGUGUGAGAGUGGAAAGUUCACA